This 774-nucleotide transfer RNA is filed under the name uncultured cyanobacterium. Its description in RNAcentral is "partial 16S-23S ribosomal RNA intergenic spacer". The stretch from base 268 to 340 matches the Rfam family "tRNA". Lineage: Bacteria; Bacillati; Cyanobacteriota. The record is from RNAcentral.
CAGGGAGACAACACAAUGAUUUUGAUGCGUGAGUGCUUUUAUUCUUAGGCCGAAAUCCUGUCACCUUAGGUCGAUCGGUACCUCAGCUUUGAAGUCAAGGAUCAGCAGCAAUGUUGAUUGCUUGAUGGAGAUUUUCAGUUCCUAAACUUUGUCUAGGUCACACCCCAAAAGGGAUGAGACUCCUGGGCCAUUAGCUCAGGUGGUUAGAGCGCACCCCUGAUAAGGGUGAGGUCCCUGGUUCAAGUCCAGGAUGGCCCAUUCGGUGUUGGGGGUUUAGCUCAGUUGGUAGAGCGCCUGCUUUGCAAGCAGGAUGUCAGGAGUUCGAGUCUCCUAACCUCCACUGACCGAACUUGAUUCCCAUCUCCAAUUUUUUGGAGUUGAGCUCGAUUGGAGUGUGAUUUAGAUGUGUCCGCUGGUUGACCCCAGCUUCCUGUCAUUCCAAGUUUUAGGUUGAUGCCUUGAAUUUGGUUGAUAAGAUGCUGGGCUCGGAUCAAAUGAUCAAGCAAUUGAUGAUUUGAUUUGAAGUUCUAGCAGAACCUUGACAACUGCAUAGGUGAGUCUGGAAAAAACAAAGCAUCUUACAGAUGCAUUGUUUUGAAUCUGAUCUUCUGAAAGGGAGAUUGGAUCUAGAACAAUGAAAAUUCUUUUGAGCAAGAGCCGAGACUCUUGAGCGUUCUUUGAUUGGUGUCGAGCCAAUCAGAGUUUGAUCUUGUUUUUAGCAAUAAAAACUUGAGAAUCUGCUUUCAACGGUGGUAAGCGUUCAGGAGGUUAAUU